Maylandia zebra (zebra mbuna) is the source of this 1339-nucleotide non-coding RNA. NCBI's taxonomy places the organism in Eukaryota, Metazoa, Chordata, Actinopteri, Cichliformes, Cichlidae. The record is from RefSeq and is a predicted model, not a curated record.
UCAGAACCAAACACAAUCAGCAAUCCUUCAAAAUCACCUAUUUCGUGGUACAUCAAUGGAGCUAUUGGUUUGGUCGCACUGCUGAUAACAGCUGUGUGUCUCAUCAUAAGGAAAAGAAUGAAAGGAAACAAAAUGCAGAAGAAUGAAAAUCCUGGACUGAGUUCAAACCCUGCAGAGACUCAAACCAAUCAGAACUCGGUGGAUCCUGAAGUUUCCUAUGUCACCAUCAGCAACACCUAGAAAACCAAGAUAAGGUGUUUUGUUUAGUGAUAUGUUUGUUUGUUUGUUAUUAUUUUAUCUAUAUAUCAGACAGCUUUUUUCAGAUUCGUGUUGAUGAUGAAAUGAUGCAGUGACUUCUGCUCUACUGUCAAUUUUAAAAUAACAUAGUUCAAGCUGUUGAAAAAAAAGAAUUUGCAUUUAAUGGAAAGACAAUUCUUGAAUAUUGUUUAUGGGUCCAACAGAUUUAAAGAAACACCAGUUUUUGGGACAGUGCCCAGCUACAUUAUAAUACACUUAUUUUUCCUUUUUUUAAAUGAAAAUAUAAUUGGUACCAGGAGUUCUUUGCUAUGGAUAUGAGCAGUUGCUCUAAGAGAAGGCUGGAUAGAAAACAUACAACUAAAACUAUUGCUAUUGCUAGACUAUUGAACAGCACACAGGAUUCAGUGCCAUGGUCAUAGAGUUUUGAGUUGUAUUUGAGUUUCAAAUUUGUGUUCUGAAGAUCUUCCUUAGCUUCUAUUUUUAUUAUUUAUUACCUGUUUUUACUGUUCAUCUUAUUUUGAAUUUUUCCUCUGUCAAAAGAAAAGAAAUCCAAAGUACUGAAAGGAAUCUAUGCUCUUUAUUUUGUUCUCAUUUUUAUGAUGAUGGGUAGGUUGACAGUUGAGGUCAGGCAGGAGUCUCUGGUCUAUUAUGUUUGUGGACAACAUUAAGAAACAGGUGAAAGACGGCCUGUAGCGGUGGAGGAGUGUUCUGGAGAGAAGUUGUGUGAAUGAGAGGGAGACAGGUUUAACAGAGAUGCUUCAGGGAGUAGAGGUAAUAUAGGUGGAGAAAUUCAAAUACCUGAGGUCAAUGAGCCAAAGCAACAUUUAUGAUGUUAUUAUCAUUGUGUAACCACAUCAUUUCUUUAGGGAUUAAUACAUUUUUCUGAUUCACUGACACGCUGUUGUUAUUUUAAUCUGAUAGAAGAUGUGUAUUCAAGUCUUAAUCCUCUCUUAUAAUAUGACUGUUGUUAAAUGCCUUUAAUGCCUUUAUAGUUUGUGUAAGUGAAAUAUGUGCAGUGUCAAAAGUCCAGUAUGAGUUUUAUAACAUGUCUUUCAUGAUGAUUAAAUAGAAUCUGAAUCAA